CUACGUGCCAGCAGCCGCGGUAAUACGUAGGGCGCGAGCGUUGUCCGGAAUUAUUGGGCGUAAAGAGCUUGUAGGCGGUUUGUCGCGUCUGCUGUGAAAGGCCGGGGCUUAACUCCGUGUAUUGCAGUGGGUACGGACAGACUAGAGUGCAGUAGGGGAGACUGGAAUUCCUGGUGUAGCGGUGGAAUGCGCAGAUAUCAGGAGGAACACCGAUGGCGAAGGCAGGUCUCUGGGCUGUAACUGACGCUGAGAAGCGAAAGCAUGGGGAGCGAACAGGAUUAGAUACCCUGGUAGUCCAUGCCGUAAACGUUGGGCACUAGGUGUGGGGAACAUUCCACGUUUUCCGCGCCGUAGCUAACGCAUUAAGUGCCCCGCCUGGGGAGUACGGCCGCAAGGCUAAAACUCAAAGAAAUUGACGGGGGCCCGCACAAGCGGCGGAGCAUGCGGAUUAAUUCGAUGCAACGCGAAGAACCUUACCAAGGCUUGACAU
RNAcentral lists this ribosomal RNA (490 nucleotides) under uncultured bacterium. RNAcentral describes it as "bacterial SSU rRNA". It matches the Rfam family "Bacterial small subunit ribosomal RNA", at positions 501 to 987 of the family's 1533-position model. The record is from RNAcentral.